RNAcentral lists this unclassified non-coding RNA (300 nucleotides) under uncultured fungus. Its description in RNAcentral is "sequence contains 5.8S rRNA gene, ITS2". The stretch from base 245 to 300 matches the Rfam family "Eukaryotic large subunit ribosomal RNA", at positions 1 to 56 of the family's 3401-position model. Lineage: Eukaryota; Fungi. The record is from RNAcentral.
GUGAAUCAUCGAAUCUUUGAACGCAUAUGGCACCUUUUGGUUUUUACUAAAAGGUAUGCCUGUUUGAGAAUCAUUUUAUUCUUUUGAUCCAUUUGAUCCAAGUCAUUCAUUUGAUUUGUUGAUCUCUUUUGGAUCGACAUUGGACUUUUAUCAUUAAUCGUCCUGAAUUCAUACACGGAUUGUUCGUGAUAAAGGGAGUGCUUGCACUUGUUAUAUCCAUCGAUCAAUCAUCCACCUUUAUUAAUGAUCUCAAAUCAGGCAAGACUACCCGCUGAACUUAAGCAUAUCAAUAAGCGGAGG